Molecule: ribosomal RNA, 1540 nt
Filed under: Klebsiella pneumoniae
Lineage: Bacteria; Pseudomonadati; Pseudomonadota; Gammaproteobacteria; Enterobacterales; Enterobacteriaceae
Description: bacterial SSU rRNA
Rfam family: Bacterial small subunit ribosomal RNA
Source: RNAcentral
AAAUUGAAGAGUUUGAUCAUGGCUCAGAUUGAACGCUGGCGGCAGGCCUAACACAUGCAAGUCGAGCGGUAGCACAGAGAGCUUGCUCUCGGGUGACGAGCGGCGGACGGGUGAGUAAUGUCUGGGAAACUGCCUGAUGGAGGGGGAUAACUACUGGAAACGGUAGCUAAUACCGCAUAAUGUCGCAAGACCAAAGUGGGGGACCUUCGGGCCUCAUGCCAUCAGAUGUGCCCAGAUGGGAUUAGCUAGUAGGUGGGGUAAUGGCUCACCUAGGCGACGAUCCCUAGCUGGUCUGAGAGGAUGACCAGCCACACUGGAACUGAGACACGGUCCAGACUCCUACGGGAGGCAGCAGUGGGGAAUAUUGCACAAUGGGCGCAAGCCUGAUGCAGCCAUGCCGCGUGUGUGAAGAAGGCCUUCGGGUUGUAAAGCACUUUCAGCGGGGAGGAAGGCGAUAAGGUUAAUAACCUUGGCGAUUGACGUUACCCGCAGAAGAAGCACCGGCUAACUCCGUGCCAGCAGCCGCGGUAAUACGGAGGGUGCAAGCGUUAAUCGGAAUUACUGGGCGUAAAGCGCACGCAGGCGGUCUGUCAAGUCGGAUGUGAAAUCCCCGGGCUCAACCUGGGAACUGCAUUCGAAACUGGCAGGCUAGAGUCUUGUAGAGGGGGGUAGAAUUCCAGGUGUAGCGGUGAAAUGCGUAGAGAUCUGGAGGAAUACCGGUGGCGAAGGCGGCCCCCUGGACAAAGACUGACGCUCAGGUGCGAAAGCGUGGGGAGCAAACAGGAUUAGAUACCCUGGUAGUCCACGCCGUAAACGAUGUCGAUUUGGAGGUUGUGCCCUUGAGGCGUGGCUUCCGGAGCUAACGCGUUAAAUCGACCGCCUGGGGAGUACGGCCGCAAGGUUAAAACUCAAAUGAAUUGACGGGGGCCCGCACAAGCGGUGGAGCAUGUGGUUUAAUUCGAUGCAACGCGAAGAACCUUACCUGGUCUUGACAUCCACAGAACUUAGCAGAGAUGCUUUGGUGCCUUCGGGAACUGUGAGACAGGUGCUGCAUGGCUGUCGUCAGCUCGUGUUGUGAAAUGUUGGGUUAAGUCCCGCAACGAGCGCAACCCUUAUCCUUUGUUGCCAGCGGUUCGGCCGGGAACUCAAAGGAGACUGCCAGUGAUAAACUGGAGGAAGGUGGGGAUGACGUCAAGUCAUCAUGGCCCUUACGACCAGGGCUACACACGUGCUACAAUGGCAUAUACAAAGAGAAGCGACCUCGCGAGAGCAAGCGGACCUCAUAAAGUAUGUCGUAGUCCGGAUUGGAGUCUGCAACUCGACUCCAUGAAGUCGGAAUCGCUAGUAAUCGUAGAUCAGAAUGCUACGGUGAAUACGUUCCCGGGCCUUGUACACACCGCCCGUCACACCAUGGGAGUGGGUUGCAAAAGAAGUAGGUAGCUUAACCUUCGGGAGGGCGCUUACCACUUUGUGAUUCAUGACUGGGGUGAAGUCGUAACAAGGUAACCGUAGGGGAACCUGCGGUUGGAUCACCUCCUUA